Molecule: ribosomal RNA, 748 nt
Filed under: uncultured bacterium
Lineage: Bacteria
Description: bacterial SSU rRNA
Rfam family: Bacterial small subunit ribosomal RNA
Source: RNAcentral
UNUGACUUGAGUGCAGAAGGGGAGAGUGGAAUUCCAUGUGUAGCGGUGAAAUGCGUAGAUAUAUGGAGGAACACCAGUGGCGAAAGCGGCUCUCUGGUCUGUCACUGACGCUGAGGCUCGAAAGCGUGGGUAGCGAACAGGAUUAGAUACCCUGGUAGUCCACGCCGUAAACGAUGAGUGCUAGGUGUUAGGCCCUUUCCGGGGCUUAGUGCCGGAGCUAACGCAAUAAGCACUCCGCCUGGGGAGUACGACCGCAAGGUUGAAACUCAAAGGAAUUGACGGGGGCCCGCACAAGCGGUGGAGCAUGUGGUUUAAUUCGAAGCAACGCGAAGAACCUUACCAGGUCUUGACAUCCCGAUGCUAUUCUUAGAGAUAGGAAGUUACUUCGGUACAUCGGAGACAGGUGGUGCAUGGUUGUCGUCAGCUCGUGUCGUGAGAUGUUGGGUUAAGUCCCGCAACGAGCGCAACCCUUAUUGUUAGUUGCCAUCAUUAAGUUGGGCACUCUAGCGAGACUGCCGGUAAUAAACCGGAGGAAGGUGGGGAUGACGUCAAAUCAUCAUGCCCCUUAUGACCUGGGCUACACACGUGCUACAAUGGUCGGUACAACGAGUUGCGAGCCGGUGACGGCAAGCUAAUCUCUGAAAGCCGAUCUCAGUUCGGAUUGGAGGCUGCAACUCGCCUCCAUGAAGUCGGAAUCGCUAGUAAUCGCGGAUCAGCACGCCGCGGUGAAUACGUUCCCGGGCCUNGU